RNAcentral lists this long non-coding RNA (4503 nucleotides) under Sorghum bicolor (sorghum). RNAcentral describes it as "long non-coding RNA (SBIC_LNC014859)". Lineage: Eukaryota; Viridiplantae; Streptophyta; Magnoliopsida; Poales; Poaceae. The record is from RNAcentral.
GAUAAGUUUAGGCUUGUGAUCAACCAGUCAGUUGGAUCCUGUAGAGAGAAGUAAUACCCGAAGGUUGGAGUUGUCUAUCCGCUGUUUGCUAUUAAAGGUUACCUCUUUUAUAUUAAAGUACGUUAUAUAUUUAUGCAUUGUCUUUUGAUAUUACCUCUUAUUUGUAGCUAUAUGUGGGAUUUGACUUCUAAAACUCACAUAUGGUGCAUAUCUGAUUUUGUCCUUAAAAUCGGGUAUUACAUCUUUCUUCUGGUAACCUUGCGGGAGGGAGUAUUGAUAUACCUUGGGUUAUUGCUACCGAUUAUUAACCUCACUCCAGUUCAGAUUUUACCGGUAGGGCUGGGUCGCAGGGACGACAGCCGCAGGUUGCCACAAUAUUCUGUAGUAGUAGUGUUUAUGAUCUGUCAACUGACAGAUGAGUCUAAGGUGCAGAAUUUACUAAUGUGUAGAGACAUUUGCGAAUGUGUAUAUGGGGGUCAAUAUGGUUUUACACAUAUAACGAAGAACUUGAUGAAGUAGUAACAUUUAGCAAUUAAUUAAUAUAACUCAAUGUCAUAAUGUGCACUGUCUACUGCUAAUAUAUGGAUGCAACCCAAUUAAUCGAAAGGUCGACAUAAAUAGUUUCUAAAUGAAAAAUACACAAUAGACAUAUAGAAAUAAAGCUGAAACUUUAGCUAAGGUUGCAAAUUUCACUACGGGAGACAGACGCUUUGAAGGCUCAAAUACACUCGGCAAAGCCUUUGCCGAGUGCCACACUCGGCAAAGAGCACACGGCAAAAUUUUGGCCGGCAAAGGGGUCUUUACCGAGUGUUUUUUAUCGAGCACUCGGCAAAGAUAAAAAUAAAAAAAUAAAAAAAUAAUAAUUUUUUUAGGGAAGGGCUGCCAUCAGCUAGCACCCGUCUAAAGUUGAGCAUGCAGCCCGCGGGCCGAAGGCACGGCCCAAAGCACGGUGAUUUGGCCUGGCCCGAGCACGGCACGGCUCGAUCCUAACCAGGACCGGCCCGGCCCGAAGCACGUAACGGGCCGUGCUUGGGCGAACCCCUUGGCCCCCUGGGUGGCACGGCCCGGCCCGCUUUUAACAGCAGGCACGGUGUCGGCCCGAUAUCAGGAAAUUUGUGAAACUUGAAGUAUCGUUAUGUGACUUGUCAAACUCGUAAUUUUUGAUAAGUCAAAUACGAUCUUUGAAUAUAUUGUGUUAUGUGAAUUGUGAAAUAUUAAUGUCUACGAAUUGAAUGUGAUUUACUUAUGCUUUGUUAAAUUGUAUAUUAAAUUUGGUGUUUUUCAUAUAGCGGACCAUGGGCCGGCCCGAAGCACUAUUGGGCCUCAUGCUUUUUGGGCUGGCCCGACCCGAAAAUCAGCCCACGGGCCGUGCCUGGGCCGUUAGGCAGGCACGGUGACCUAUGGAGGCACGGCCCGGUGGCACGUGGGCCAUACGGGCCCGUGCCCUAUCGAGCCAUGCCUAGCACGGGCCAUGCCGUGCCGGGCCGGGCUGGGCCGGCCCGUUGAUCUUCUUUACACCCGCCGCAGCGCCCUCCACUUUUUUUUCAACAUUUUUCCACAAGCACCCUUCACCUUUUUUUUUCAACAUUUUCUACAAAAUUCACAAAUACGCCAUAGGCAGUACUCGAAUGCGACCUCGAGCUCACACAGCUCAUGUAACACCCAAAGUUUUAUUUCUUUUAAAAUAGAUGAAUUGAAUUUAAAUGAAUUUAUUUUGUGAGCAUUUUCAAUAUAGGAAAAUAAAUAAAUUUGGAGAAAUUAAAAUUUAAUAAUUUUAGAAUAAUAAUUUUUGUUGCAUGCAUGCUGGUGCACUUCUUUUAUGUGAUGAGUGGUUUUGAACAAAGGAAUUUGAAUUCAAAAAUUCAAUUGGAAAAUAGUUUGAAAAAUUUGUUUGGAAAAUAAAAAGGAAAAAGCUUUCUCUCUCCCCCUUCCUUCUUUUCGGCCAUUUUGGCCCAAACCCCGCGCCCCUUCUUGGGCCGCAGCCCAGCCGAUUUCCCCCCUUCCCCCUCUCCCUCUCUGGCGGCUGACGGGUGGGGCCCACCCGUCAGGUUCAUCCCCUUCCCCAACCGUCGCCCCCGAAUCUCUCUCUCUCUCUGCUGAUCUGCCAAGCCGAAGCCCGCUCCCAAGUUCUCCCCUCCCCGCGCCUGGAUAAGUAGUGGGCUGCGAGCCGCACGUCUCCUUCUCCUCCCCAGUUCCCCUCUCCUCGCUUCUGCUCCCGUCCGUGCACGCGCAGAGAGAAACCGUCGCUGGAGUUUUCCGCCCGCCGCGCGAAACCGCCGUCCCGAGCCGUUUUCGCUCCGAAUUAGCGCCGUGGUGAGCUUCCUCUCCCUUCCCGCUCUCUCCCCAUCCAGUUCCCGAGCAAAACGGGGUCUCCAAUCACCCCGGCCGCGCUCGCCGGAGAAGCUUUCCGCCGCCGGCCAUGGCGCGGCAGCUCGGACGCUUCCCGGGUCGUUCCGAGGCUGGGAGCGUGAUCCCCUCGCCCUCCUCUGUCUCCCAGCGGUUUCGGUUUGGAAAACCGCCCGCCGUAGCCUCUGUUGGGAGUGCGCCGGCGAGCUCGGGCCGGCAAGCAAUGGCGCCCGCCGCCUCCUGCUUCAGCUCCAGCCGGCGCGCCACCUCCUCUCUCCCUCUGUUUCUUUCCUUUAAUCUCGGCCGUCCGUUCGCGAUUUGAUGGCCGAGAAGAGCUCAUACCCCCUUCGCGGGUCAGUUUUGCUAAAGAGUCCCCCUAAAAUUUUGAUUUUGUGCCCGCAGUCCUCGGCCGGGAGAAUUCCAGGAAUUUCUGUAUUUAUUUAAAUUCGUUUAAACUCUGCCUUAUUUACAGAAUUGCCACCGCAUUGUUUCAGCUAUAAAAUCAUCGUUUGAACUCCGAAUCGAUCCGUUCAAGUUGCGUUAGUUUCGUAACUUUGUAAGCUUCAUGUUGGUACCACUGUUGUUUAGGUUUACCACUGUUAGAUUUCCUAGUUAAUUAUAAGUCCGUAGAUUGCUGUUGAAAUCCCGUUAAAAGCGUAACUUUCGCGUCGUAAGUCCGUUUUUCGUAAAUUUCGCGUUGACGUGAUCGUAGCAGCACGUAGAUGAUUUUGGAAAACUUUUAUUUAACUUAUUUACUGCUAGUGUACUGUUCUAACUUUAGGAAUUAUUCUCUUGCAUGUUUGUCUUGGUAUGCGUGAUGAUUGUGAUGUAUUGAUCGAGGCCAGACGGUGCGGAGUAUUUCGGGAGUCCGGAGCUCUUUGGGGACCAGCAGGACCAGCAAGACCAGCAGGAGUACGUGAACCAAGGCAAGUAUAGCAUGAGCCUACCUUGUUGUCCUACUUAUUUUUAAGCAUUUCACCCUGCAUGUGUAUAAUAUUGCAAACUAUAAGGACAUCCUAGUUGUUGAUGACAAUUACCUUGUUCCCGAGGGUUUUUAUUGCAUAUGGGUAGAAGUGCUAGUGCUCUAACUCCAAUUAUAUAUGAUCUGAAAGCAGUGAUGGAACCAUGGUUAAUUGAUUAAACAUAAUUAUGAUAAAUGGAACAUAGGGCUAUGGUACAAAUGACCGUUCGUCAUGUUGUCCCAGACCCUCCGUAAGGACUUAUCUGUCGGCAAAAGCUGGGACUUACAGUGCAACCGGGAGAGUCACAUGGCUCUGACUUUAGCUCAGUAAUAGGAUCUUUUCUAACUCGUUAGAGGUUACCCGAAAGGGCGCAAGAGGGGCUUGCCACUUUGGGUGUAGUGCUGCCCUUGUUUCUAUGAGUAUAGCCGCGAUGGAAAUGCGCCAUAGAAAAGGGGGGUUUUCUACAUCUGCCUGCCGAGGAAACCUCGCGGCUCUAACUGGUUAGAAUAGGCCUAUGGAAGGCUUCAUAGUGUACCCUGCCCGCUCACCUUGGUAGUGUUUGGGGGUCGAUGGACCCCGAGCAUAUGGGCAACACGACUCACGGUGAAAGUGCACAACCUCUGCAGAGUGUAUAACAGUUAUAACAGCCGUGCUCACGGUCACGAGCGGCUCGGAAAACACACAGAAUAACUGGUUACUAUUGGCUUUAUCGAAUAUGAUGAUGUACAAUUUUGCUUUAAUGUGACUUAAUGACUUACUAUGGUUCUGAUGACUGAUCAUAUGGGAUACUUGGGAGCUUAAGCAUAACCUAAUAAUAAUUAAUGAUAAAAUGUUGACCUACUAAAAUACUGAUGCUAACCUAGAUUAGCCUGUUUGAGCCUCAUAAAUCCUCAUGCUAUGCUUGUGGAGUACGAGAUGUACUCACGCUUGUAUACUUCUUUUCUUUGGAUAAAAAUCCCGGAUGGGUAACAGAUGGUGGUAGCUAUGAGGACUACCCGGAGGACUAUUAGGCUUGUGCCUCACCAGUCGACCUUCCCUGUGUGAGGGCCAUGAGAUAGUUAUCUUAGAUUAUCUUAUUUAUAUUUCCGCUGUUGUACCAGACUUUGUGAUGUAAUAACUGCGUUUGUUGUAAACACUGCGAUGAUGAUAUUUAAUUUGUGGCUUAUGCGUGUGAUUGAUCUCUGGGCGCACAUAA